This 586-nucleotide long non-coding RNA is filed under the name Bos taurus (domestic cattle). RNAcentral describes it as "long non-coding RNA NONBTAT015201". The record is from RNAcentral. Lineage: Eukaryota; Metazoa; Chordata; Mammalia; Artiodactyla; Bovidae.
GAUGUGAAAGAUAUAUUUGGACAGUUUUUGGAAGAGGUAGAGAAACGAACUGGGUACAUAUACUCUUUUAUUUGAUUUGAACUAGCAAGAGACUAGACUGAUUGUUUUUCACCUUCAAAAUCUUAGUCUUGAUGAAACUGACAAUAAAGGCACAAAUAAAGUGAAAUUAAAAUAAUUUUAACAAAGAAGAAAAUCUGGCAAUGUCUAAAGAACAGAUGAAGUAAGCAAAAACGUUAAAUAUGAUUUAAGGUUUAAAAAAAAAAACCUUAGAUAUUAACAACUUGCAAGUACACACUCAGAAUACAGAAUAAGAAUACAGAACAAGAAUAUUUAGGUUUCAAGAAAAAUUAGGCAGGUCUUCUUCUGACAAAGUGACAGGUCCUGAGGGAGAAAGUAACCCCCACAAGACUAAGAGUCAGUACCAAAUCCCAGUCAUCUUACCACUCAACGUCACACUGGCUGGGUAAAGAAAAGGCAUCAGUAAGUGUUCACUGAAUGAAGGUAUAUCAUAACGCACAAUUACAACUAGUUAGUAUGGUGUAGUUCAAACCCAGUCAGGAAAGUCAACCUUUUAUUAAGCAGUGAA